Molecule: transfer RNA, 71 nt
Filed under: Marmota monax (woodchuck)
Lineage: Eukaryota; Metazoa; Chordata; Mammalia; Rodentia; Sciuridae
Description: tRNA.Ala
Source: RNAcentral
GGGGUUGUGGCUCAUUGGAAGAGCGCUUGCCUAGCGUGUUGGAGACACUGGGUUUAAUCCUCAGCACCACA